RNAcentral lists this ribosomal RNA (1435 nucleotides) under uncultured organism. RNAcentral's name for it is "16S ribosomal RNA". It matches the Rfam family "Bacterial small subunit ribosomal RNA". The record is from RNAcentral.
GCGUGCUUAACACAUGCAAGUCGAACGGAAAGGCCCUGCUUUUGUGGGGUGCUCGAGUGGCGAACGGGUGAGUAACACGUGAGUAACCUGCCCUUGACUUUGGGAUAACUUCAGGAAACUGGGGCUAAUACCGGAUAGGAGCUCCUGCUGCAUGGUGGGGGUUGGAAAGUUUCGGCGGUUGGGGAUGGACUCGCGGCUUAUCAGCUUGUUGGUGGGGUAGUGGCUUACCAAGGCUUUGACGGGUAGCCGGCCUGAGAGGGUGACCGGCCACAUUGGGACUGAGAUACGGCCCAGACUCCUACGGGAGGUAGCAGUGGGGAAUAUUGCACAAUGGGCGGAAGCCUGAUGCAGCAACACCGCGUGCGGGAUGACGGCCUUCGGGUUGUAAACCGCUUUCGCCUGUGACGAAGCGUGAGUGACGGUAAUGGGUAAAGAAGCACCGGCUAACUACGUGCCAGCAGCCGCGGUGAUACGUAGGGUGCGAGCGUUGUCCGGAUUUAUUGGGCGUAAAGGGCUCGUAGGUGGUUGAUCGCGUCGGAAGUGUAAUCUUGGGGCUUAACCCUGAGCGUGCUUUCGAUACGGGUUGACUUGAGGAAGGUAGGGGAGAAUGGAAUUCCUGGUGGAGCGGUGGAAUGCGCAGAUAUCAGGAGGAACACCAGUGGCGAAGGCGGUUCUCUGGGCCUUUCCUGACGCUGAGGAGCGAAAGCGUGGGGAGCGAACAGGCUUAGAUACCCUGGUAGUCCACGCUGUAAACGGUGGGUACUAGGUGUGGGGUCCAUUCCACGGGUUCCGUGCCGUAGCUAACGCUUUAAGUACCCCGCCUGGGGAGUACGGCCGCAAGGCUAAAACUCAAAGGAAUUGACGGGGCCCCGCACAAGCGGCGGAGCAUGCGGAUUAAUUCGAUGCAACGCGUAGAACCUUACCUGGGUUUGACAUGGAUCGGGAGUGCUCAGAGAUGGGUGUGCCUCUUUUGGGGUCGGUUCACAGGUGGUGCAUGGCUGUCGUCAGCUCGUGUCGUGAGAUGUUGGGUUAAGUCCCGCAACGAGCGCAACCCUUGUUCACUGUUGCCAGCACGUUAUGGUGGGGACUCAGUGGAGACCGCCGGGGUCAACUCGGAGGAAGGUGGGGAUGACGUCAAGUCAUCAUGCCCCUUAUGUCCAGGGCUUCACGCAUGCUACAAUGGCUGGUACAGAGAGUGGCGAGCCUGUGAGGGUGAGCGAAUCUCGGAAAGCCGGUCUCAGUUCGGAUUGGGGUCUGCAACUCGACCUCAUGAAGUCGGAGUCGCUAGUAAUCGCAGAUCAGCAACGCUGCGGUGAAUACGUUCCCGGGGCUUGUACACACCGCCCGUCAAGUCAUGAAAGUUGGUAACACCCGAAGCCGGUGGCCUAACCGUUGUGGGGGAGCCGUCGAAGGUGGGACUGGUGAUUAGGACUAA